GGCUAGGUAGCUCAGGUGGUAGAGCGCGGCCCUGAAAAGGCCGGCGUCGCUGGUUCAACUCCAGUCCUAGCCA
RNAcentral lists this transfer RNA (73 nucleotides) under Phycisphaerae bacterium. RNAcentral's name for it is "tRNA-Phe". It matches the Rfam family "tRNA". Rfam says of the family: Transfer RNA (tRNA) molecules are approximately 80 nucleotides in length. Their secondary structure includes four short double-helical elements and three loops (D, anti-codon, and T loops). Lineage: Bacteria; Pseudomonadati; Planctomycetota; Phycisphaerae. The record is from RNAcentral.